UAGGGAAUCUUCCGCAAUGGACGAAAGUCUGACGGAGCAACGCCGCGUGAGCGAUGAAGGCCUUCGGGUCGUAAAGCUCUGUUGUUAGGGAAGAACAAGUGCCGUUCGAAUAGGGCGGUACCUUGACGGUACCUAACCAGAAAGCCACGGCUAACUACGUGCCAGCAGCCGCGGUAAUACGUAGGUGGCAAGCGUUGUCCGGAAUUAUUGGGCGUAAAGCGCGCGCAGGCGGUUCCUUAAGUCUGAUGUGAAAGCCCACGGCUCAACCGUGGAGGGUCAUUGGAAACUGGGGAACUUGAGUGCAGAAGAGGAAAGCGGAAUUCCACGCGUAGCGGUGAAAUGCGUAGAGAUGUGGAGGAACACCAGUGGCGAAGGCGGCUUUCUGGUCUGUAACUGACGCUGAGGCGCGAAAGCGUGGGGAGCAAACAGGAUUAGAUACCCUGGUAGUCCACGCCGUAAACGAUGAGUGCUAAGUGUUAGGGGGUUUCCGCCCCUUAGUGCUGCAGCUAACG
Molecule: ribosomal RNA, 512 nt
Filed under: uncultured Bacillota bacterium
Lineage: Bacteria; Bacillati; Bacillota
Description: bacterial SSU rRNA
Rfam family: Bacterial small subunit ribosomal RNA
Source: RNAcentral